AUUACCGCGGCUGCUGGCACGGAGUUAGCCGGGGUUUCUUCUACUGCUACCGUCAUUAUCUUCACAGUUGAAAGAGCUUUACGACCCUAGGGCCUUCAUCACUCACGCGGCAUGGCUAGAUCAGGCUUUCGCCCAUUGUCUAAGAUUCCCCACUGCUGCCUCCCGUAGG
This 169-nucleotide ribosomal RNA is filed under the name uncultured marine alpha proteobacterium MBE13. RNAcentral describes it as "partial 16S ribosomal RNA". Lineage: Bacteria; Pseudomonadati; Pseudomonadota; Alphaproteobacteria. The record is from RNAcentral.